RNAcentral lists this ribosomal RNA (460 nucleotides) under uncultured bacterium. Its description in RNAcentral is "bacterial SSU rRNA". It matches the Rfam family "Bacterial small subunit ribosomal RNA", at positions 420 to 882 of the family's 1533-position model. The record is from RNAcentral.
GGGUUGUAACUUCUUUUAUACGGGAAUAGAGUGAGGCACGUGUGCCUUUUUGUAUGUACCGUAUGAAUAAGGAUCGGCUAACUCCGUGCCAGCAGCCGCGGUAAUACGGAGGAUCCGAGCGUUAUCCGGAUUUAUUGGGUUUAAAGGGAGCGUAGGCGGACGCUUAAGUCAGUUGUGAAAGUUUGCGGCUCAACCGUAAAAUUGCAGUUGAUACUGGGUGUCUUGAGUACAGUAGAGGCAGGCGGAAUUCGUGGUGUAGCGGUGAAAUGCUUAGAUAUCACGAAGAACUCCGAUUGCGAAGGCAGCUUGCUGGACUGUAACUGACGCUGAUGCUCGAAAGUGUGGGUAUCAAACAGGAUUAGAUACCCUGGUAGUCCACACAGUAAGCGAUGAAUACUCGCUGUUUGCGAUAUACAGUAAGCGGCCAAGCGAAAGCGUUAAGUAUUCCACCUGGGGAGUA